RNAcentral lists this ribosomal RNA (542 nucleotides) under Escherichia coli. RNAcentral's name for it is "bacterial SSU rRNA". It matches the Rfam family "Bacterial small subunit ribosomal RNA", at positions 1003 to 1533 of the family's 1533-position model. Lineage: Bacteria; Pseudomonadati; Pseudomonadota; Gammaproteobacteria; Enterobacterales; Enterobacteriaceae. The record is from RNAcentral.
GAGAUGGAUUGGUGCCUUCGGGAACUGUGAGACAGGUGCUGCAUGGCUGUCGUCAGCUCGUGUUGUGAAAUGUUGGGUUAAGUCCCGCAACGAGCGCAACCCUUAUCCUUUGUUGCCAGCGGUCCGGCCGGGAACUCAAAGGAGACUGCCAGUGAUAAACUGGAGGAAGGUGGGGAUGACGUCAAGUCAUCAUGGCCCUUACGACCAGGGCUACACACGUGCUACAAUGGCGCAUACAAAGAGAAGCGACCUCGCGAGAGCAAGCGGACCUCAUAAAGUGCGUCGUAGUCCGGAUUGGAGUCUGCAACUCGACUCCAUGAAGUCGGAAUCGCUAGUAAUCGUGGAUCAGAAUGCCACGGUGAAUACGUUCCCGGGCCUUGUACACACCGCCCGUCACACCAUGGGAGUGAGUUGCAAAAGAAGUAGGUAGCUUAACCUUCGGGAGGGCGCUUACCACUUUGUGAUUCAUGACUGGGGUGAAGUCGUAACAAGGUAACCGUAGGGGAACCUGCGGUUGGAUCACCUCCUUACCUUAAAGAAGC